CUGGUUGAUCCUGCCAGUAGUCAUAUGCUUGUCUCAAAGAUUAAGCCAUGCAAGUCUAAGUAUAAGUUUAAAUACAACGAAACUGCGAAUGGCUCAUUACAACAGUAAUAGUUUGUGUGAAAAUAGUUACUACACGGAUAUCUGUGGUAAUUCUGGAGCUAAUACGUGCACCAACACCUCUCCUUCGGGCUGAGGUGGCACAUAUUAGAUAAAGAACCAACCUAUGCUUGCAUAGAUUUUUGGUGAUCCAUAAUAAAUUUGUGAAUCGUAUGGCUUCGGCUAGCGAUAAUUCACUUAAGUUUCUGACCUAUCAGCUGUCGACGGUAGGGUAUUGGCCUACCGUGGCUAUGACGGGUAACGGGGAAUUAGGGUUUGAUUCCGGAGAGGGAGCCUGAGAAAUGGCUACCACAUCUAAGGAAGGCAGCAGGCGCGCAAAUUGCCCAAUACGGACACAUUCGUGAGGCAGUGACAAGAAAUAUCAAUGCAGGACUUAUAGUUUUGCAAUUGGAAUGAGUCAAACCUAAAUCCCUUGACAAGUAUCAAUUGGAGGGCAAGUCUGGUA
RNAcentral lists this ribosomal RNA (562 nucleotides) under uncultured eukaryote. RNAcentral describes it as "bacterial SSU rRNA". It matches the Rfam family "Eukaryotic small subunit ribosomal RNA", at positions 4 to 566 of the family's 1831-position model. The record is from RNAcentral.